UUCAGCCAAAGGUGUCCUUUUCCCACUUAACUCCCUCAAGGGAAGGGAUGGGAUGAAUGCUGGGAUAAAUCCUGAGUUGCUGCAGUGGUUAAAACAGUCUUGGAAUCCCAGAUUUUAGGUUGGGAAAGACCUUCAGGUUGUUGAGUUCCACCAAUCCCAGGGUUUCACACUGAUAAUGCCCCACGGGACAGAGCUGGUGUGACUCCAGCAGUUCACUGCUCUUCAGCCUCUGAAAGUAAAACACAAACUGAACCUUCUGAGCUGAUUUCUCAGGUUUUGCACUUCCCAAGGCACAGUCUUCCCUGGAGCAGCAGUGUCCAUUCCUUUAGUACAAUCCAUGCCCAUCUCCUGGAGGAUGCCCCACUCUCAUUCACAUCUGAGGUUUCUUCCAAGCUUCAGAACCUGUGUCAGUCUGGUGAUCAGCUGGAAGAGAGAAUUAAUUAAAUUGGAUUGCUAGAAUGAAUUCCACAAUACCCUGGGAAGUCUGAUAUUUGUAAUCAACUAUGGAACUGUUGCUAGGACACUGGAAUUGAUUUUUUGGAAAAAAGAUCUAUUCAAAUAUUUGCCUGUCUAAAGCUAUGAAUCCAAGAUAUACAAAAGUUAACUGUGAAAAUUUUUUAGUGCUUUCAUUUAUAAUAUAUUAACUCCUGACUCAGAAAACAUAUGGAAAAGCCCACAAGAAUCUACUACUACAUAUGUAAGAUAUAUUCCUAAAGAGAAACAAAUUAUAGCUGAUGAAUUGUUAAUUCCAUGACCAUUUCCCUCUGCUGCCCUACCCGAGCAGCAAGGACACACAGAAGACAAUUAAUAUCUAUUAACAAUGUUAGAUUUAGUUUGCACAUCUGACAGUAACAUCAUCCCCCACAGCACAAAAAGAUUUAUAACAUUGAAAUAUAAAGGACUUGGUGAUGGAGCUUGUACCCCCUUAACCAGAGAAACUGUCCCAAAGUUCAGUGUUUACUCUCAGUUUUACCAAGUUCUUUUUCUCAGUUUCCACCUGUGGCCCCAUGACAAACCCUGAGCAGUUCUACUUGCUCUGCAGAGCUCAACUUCAAUUACUUUCAGAAAGUUUUCUCAUCCUUAAUUGUCAUUUAUCCAAGUUAUUAUUGUUUAAUCCUUUAAUCUCUUGUCAAUCAUGACAAUCUUCCCCUCUGUUUUUCUCUUCACAAUGUUCAACCACCCC
Long non-coding RNA from Zonotrichia leucophrys gambelii, 1183 nucleotides. RefSeq lists it as uncharacterized. The transcript has 3 exons. The record is from RefSeq and is a predicted model, not a curated record. Lineage: Eukaryota; Metazoa; Chordata; Aves; Passeriformes; Passerellidae.